This 279-nucleotide signal recognition particle RNA is filed under the name Vombatus ursinus (common wombat). RNAcentral describes it as "Metazoan signal recognition particle RNA (ENSVURG00010019934.1)". It matches the Rfam family "Metazoan signal recognition particle RNA". Rfam says of the family: The signal recognition particle (SRP) is a universally conserved ribonucleoprotein. It is involved in the co-translational targeting of proteins to membranes. The record is from Rfam by way of RNAcentral. Lineage: Eukaryota; Metazoa; Chordata; Mammalia; Diprotodontia; Vombatidae.
AUUACUGUAGUCCAGGCUACUUGGCAAUUGAGGCUAAUGUAUCGGUUGAGUUUGAGAAUUCUGAGCUACAGUGGAGUGAACUGAUCAGGUGUUCAAACUAUGUGUAGUAUCAGUAUGGUGAGCCCUCAAGAGUAGUCACCAGGUUGCCUAAGAGGCAGCAAAAUGGCCCAGAUUGGAUAUGGAGCAGGUUGAAGUUCCUAUGCCAAUCAGUAAUGGGAUCAGGUCUGGUAAAUAGCCCCUUCAUUUCCAGCUUGGACAAGAUAGGAAUAUCAGUCUUUU